This 427-nucleotide ribosomal RNA is filed under the name uncultured prokaryote. Its description in RNAcentral is "bacterial SSU rRNA". It matches the Rfam family "Bacterial small subunit ribosomal RNA", at positions 355 to 774 of the family's 1533-position model. The record is from RNAcentral.
UGAGGAAUUUUGCGCAAUGGGGGAAACCCUGACGCAGCAACGCCGCGUGAGUGAAGAAGGCCUUCGGGUCGUAAAGCUCUGUCAAGUGGAAAAAACGAUUUACGGUAAAUAGCCGUAAAUUUUGAUGGUACAACUAGAGGAAGCACCGGCUAACUCUGUGCCAGCAGCCGCGGUAAGACAGAGGCCUCAAGCGUUAGGCGGAAUCACUGGGCUUAAAGCGUGUGUAGGCGGGUCGCUAAGUACCUUGUGAAAUCCCACCGCUCAACGGUGGAACGGCUGGGUAUACUGGCGACCUUGGGCCACUCAGGGGCAACUGGAACAAGCGGUGGAGCGGUGAAAUGCGUAGAUAUCGCUUGGAACGCCGAAGGUGAAGACAGGUUGCUGGGGGUGUGCCGACGCUGAGACACGAAAGCCAGGGGAGCAAACG